RNAcentral lists this ribosomal RNA (377 nucleotides) under uncultured eukaryote. RNAcentral's name for it is "partial 18S ribosomal RNA". It matches the Rfam family "Eukaryotic small subunit ribosomal RNA", at positions 592 to 976 of the family's 1831-position model. The record is from RNAcentral.
CAAUAGCGUAUAUUAAAGUUGUUGCGGUUAAAAAGCUCGUAGUUGGAUUUCUGUCGAGGGAGAUCGGUCCGAUCUACGAUCGCGUAUCUGAUACUCGCUCGGCAUCCGGAAGUUUAAGGCUGUUGCUUUACUGCAAUAUCCGUAGGCUUCUCUUUUACUUUGAGGAAAUUAGAGUGUUCACGGCAGGCAAUCGCCCUGAAUACAUUAGCAUGGAAUAAUAAUAUAGGACUUCAGUUCUAUUUUGUUGGUUUCUAGAGCUGAGGUAAUGAUUAAUAGGGACAAUUGGGGGCAUUCGUAUUAUCACGUCAGAGGUGGAAUUCUUGGAUUGUGUUACGACGAACUACUGCGAAAGCAUUUGCCAAGGAUGUUUNCAUUGA